ACCAUCCUUUCCUUGGGGUUGCGCUACUGUCCACUGAGCGGUCAGCGAGGGCAGUACUGCUAACGCCUGACCAACAUGCUCGAGCACGCUGCGGGGUGGCUAAGCAGCUUGCAAAC
Non-coding RNA from Callorhinus ursinus (northern fur seal), 116 nucleotides. NCBI's taxonomy places the organism in Eukaryota, Metazoa, Chordata, Mammalia, Carnivora, Otariidae. The record is from RefSeq and is a predicted model, not a curated record.